RNAcentral lists this long non-coding RNA (959 nucleotides) under Salmo salar (Atlantic salmon). Its description in RNAcentral is "lncRNA (ENSSSAG00000112251.1)". Lineage: Eukaryota; Metazoa; Chordata; Actinopteri; Salmoniformes; Salmonidae. The record is from RNAcentral.
GUGCUUGAAAUCAUAGAUUGCUGUGUUCCAGAGCAUCAAGACCGUGAUCGAAGGGUCAAUUGUGACUGAAUUACUGAGCUACUAAUAAUAUUAAGUAGUUAUUUAUAAGUCAAGGUUACUCUAAAUCACUCUCGACUCGCCUUAAAAGUCAUCUGCAAUGUGGAACGUCCAACAAUUCAUUGACACAGUUGUGACUGACUCCUUCAUAGCCGUCGGCCAGCUCUUUCACAUCCACCAUCUAAUUGAAGUGAAAGGACAGAAAUGUUGAAAGUGUGUUUUCUGCAGCACCAGUAAGGACCGUUCUCCUAUGAUGUAGUCGACCCUAUCAGAAAACAUUUACUCACUUUUUGCUUUUAUACAAAAAAACAUGCCAUUUCUCCAUUUUGGUGAAAAGUGGGCCAUUAGCUAAACCACAACCUUCCUGUCCAAAGACCUUCAUGAACUACUGAAACUAUAUCUGACAGUUUGGGGAGGAAUUCAUUCUAACGGGUGAAAAUGAACCAGGUCUUUUCUGUGUAUGUGCCGGUCUUUAAGCAUAAAUGUAAAUAUAUAAAAUAUACUAAUAAUGCAUAUAGUCUCUGGUUAUCGGUGAUACUUCCCAUUCUGCACAAUUGUGACCUUUGACCCCUUGCACGUGGUCUUAAAUGUCCACAUUCUGGAUGACAUCCUGCCAGACUUUGUUGGUAUUUCACUGUUUGAUCUAGCAUGUGACUGUUUUUCCCCCCCAGCACUUGUCCCAUGUUGGCUGGCCUACUAUGCAGUUAAAUGGAAAGGUUUUUCCCCAGCACUUGUCCCAUGUUGGCUGGCCCACUAUGCAGUUAAAUGGAAAGGUUUUUCCCCAGCACUUGUCCCAUGUUAGCUGGCCCACUAUGCAGUUAAAUGGAAAGGUUUUUCCCCAGCACUUGUCCCAUGUUGGCUGGCCUACUAUGCAGUUAAAUGGAAAGGUUUUUCCCCAGCAC